GUGUUCUUUGGGCAGCACAUAUACUAAAACUGGAAUGAUGUGGACAAGAUUUAGCAUGGUGCCUGUGCAAGGAUGACACGCAAAUUCAUGAAGCAUUCUAUUAAAAA
This is a small nuclear RNA of Pongo abelii (Sumatran orangutan), 107 nucleotides long. Lineage: Eukaryota; Metazoa; Chordata; Mammalia; Primates; Hominidae. The record is from Ensembl.